RNAcentral lists this non-coding RNA (235 nucleotides) under Clostridium autoethanogenum. RNAcentral describes it as "T-box sequence". It matches the Rfam family "T-box leader". Rfam says of the family: Uncharged tRNA acts as the effector for transcription antitermination of genes in the T-box leader family. T-boxes are found upstream of many aminoacyl-tRNA synthetase genes and some amino acid biosynthetic genes usually in Gram-positive bacteria. The anticodon of a specific tRNA base pairs to a specifier sequence within the T-box motif, and the NCCA acceptor tail of the tRNA base pairs to a conserved bulge in the T-box antiterminator hairpin. The record is from RNAcentral. Lineage: Bacteria; Bacillati; Bacillota; Clostridia; Eubacteriales; Clostridiaceae.
UGAAAAACAUUGAACAGGAAAAGUAUUUAAGUUUGUUUUUAUUUACAGAGAGUGGGGGAGUGCUGAAAACCCAUAGAAAAGCUUAAAGAAAAUCACCUGGGAGUUGAAGAAUUGAACAGUAUUUUUAUAAUCACUUUAGUAAAUUCUUACGUAAUUCUACGUUACAGAAUAGAGUAUGGUAGUACUUAAAUUUAUUACCCAUAGGUGGUACAGCGAGUUAAACUUCGUCCUAUUU